GCGCUCACCUCGGCAGCAUGGGUGCUAAAAUUAGAACAAUACAGUGAAGACUAGUGUGGCCCCCAUGCAAGGAGGACAUGCAAAUUCGUGACACAUUCUCUAUUUUA
Octodon degus (degu) is the source of this 107-nucleotide small nuclear RNA. NCBI's taxonomy places the organism in Eukaryota, Metazoa, Chordata, Mammalia, Rodentia, Octodontidae. The record is from Ensembl.